This 253-nucleotide ribosomal RNA is filed under the name uncultured bacterium. RNAcentral's name for it is "partial 16S ribosomal RNA". It matches the Rfam family "Bacterial small subunit ribosomal RNA", at positions 524 to 776 of the family's 1533-position model. The record is from RNAcentral.
UGCGUAGGGGGCAAGCGUUGUCCGGAGUUACUGGGCGUAAAGCGCACGCAGGCGGUCUCUUAAGUUUGGAGUGACAGUUGGUGGCUUAACUGCCAAAGUGCUUCGAAAACUGAGAGACUUGAGGGCUUCAGAGGGACACGGAAUUCCGGGUGGAGUGGUGAAAUGCGUAGAGAUCCGGAGGAACACCAAAGGCGAAGGCAGUGUCCUGGGGAGUACCUGACGCUCAGGUGCGAAAGCCAGGGGAGCGAACGGG